This 253-nucleotide ribosomal RNA is filed under the name uncultured bacterium. RNAcentral describes it as "partial 16S ribosomal RNA". It matches the Rfam family "Bacterial small subunit ribosomal RNA", at positions 524 to 776 of the family's 1533-position model. The record is from RNAcentral.
UACGUAGGGUGCAAGCGUUGUCCGGAAUUAUUGGGCGUAAAGAGCUCGUAGGCGGUCUGUCGCGUCUGCUGUGAAAACUCGGGGCUUAACCCCGGGCCUGCAGUGGGUACGGGCAGACUAGAGUGCGGUAGGGGAGACUGGAAUUCCUGGUGUAGCGGUGAAAUGCGCAGAUAUCGGGAGGAACACCUAUGGCGAAGGCAGCUCGCUGGGACGUUACUGACGCUGAGGCGCGAAAGCGUGGGGAGCAAACAGG